This 191-nucleotide unclassified non-coding RNA is filed under the name Aconitum bartlettii. Its description in RNAcentral is "partial miscellaneous RNA". The record is from RNAcentral. Lineage: Eukaryota; Viridiplantae; Streptophyta; Magnoliopsida; Ranunculales; Ranunculaceae.
ACACAGCGUCGCACCCCGUCAACCAAGUUGUCGGGGAGCGGAGAUUGGCCCCCCGGGCCCUGCGGGCACGGUCGGCACAAAUGUUUGUCCCCGGCGGCGAGCGUCGCGGUCAGUGGUGGUUGUAUUUCUCAUCCUCCAAAGACAUCAAGACGCGUCGUCCUCGUUGCACGUUGGACACAUCGACCCCAAGG